UUAUUUAUGUUUGAUGGACAGCUAAGCAAGCGUAUUGCGAAUGCCGUACUCUGCUUCUGAUUGGUUGUAACAACGUCAUCUCCGGUGAGUCACAAUUUUGA
Molecule: long non-coding RNA, 101 nt
Organism: Alosa sapidissima (American shad)
Lineage: Eukaryota; Metazoa; Chordata; Actinopteri; Clupeiformes; Clupeidae
Exons: 3
Source: RefSeq, a predicted model, not a curated record